UCGAACAGGGUUUUACACUAGGGAA
Molecule: unclassified non-coding RNA, 25 nt
Filed under: Mus musculus (house mouse)
Lineage: Eukaryota; Metazoa; Chordata; Mammalia; Rodentia; Muridae
Description: oocyte_clustered_small_RNA11046
Source: RNAcentral